RNAcentral lists this ribosomal RNA (292 nucleotides) under uncultured bacterium. RNAcentral describes it as "partial 16S ribosomal RNA". It matches the Rfam family "Bacterial small subunit ribosomal RNA", at positions 505 to 796 of the family's 1533-position model. The record is from RNAcentral.
GUGCCAGCCGCCGCGGUAAGACGAACCGUGCGAACGUUGUUCGGAUUCACUGGGCUUAAAGGGCGCGUAGGCGGGUGCUCAAGUCCGGGGUGAAAUCCUCCAGCUCAACUGGAGAAUAGCCUUGGAUACUGGGCACCUCGAGGGGGGUAGGGGCGGGCGGAACUUCCGGUGGAGCGGUGAAAUGCGUUGAUAUCAGAAGGAACGCCGGUGGCGAAAGCGACGGACUGGACCUCCACUGACGCUGAGGCGCGAAAGCUAGGGGAGCAAACAGGAUUAGAAACCCCUGUAGUCC